Molecule: non-coding RNA, 3422 nt
Organism: Hemibagrus wyckioides
Lineage: Eukaryota; Metazoa; Chordata; Actinopteri; Siluriformes; Bagridae
Source: the annotation of a RefSeq genome assembly
GGAGCACAUUUAGUUCCAAACACAAAGAGUUAAACUUAGAAAUGGAAGUAUGGUUUUUCGAGAAAUUGAAGCACAUCUAAUUUUGACACAUCGAAAACAUCGAGGUUGGUACGUGCGUACGUGCACAUUGUUGUUGUAUACAUCAUGUAAUCGAAAGGUUGUGUGAUGUCAUCAAAGGGAGGAUGUUUUAAUUUAGGGGAGGUAUCAGGACAAAUACGAAAAUAUAGUAUGUUAAUUAAGGAAGGAGGGAUUAAAAGUAUACAUACAUUGAGUAUAAUGUGGAAAUUUCUAGAAAUAUUUAAAUUUGGAAGAGGAGGCGACAUGGGGCGUCUGAGGUAUAAGAAGAAGGGAAUUUUUGGGGUUUUUUUAGACCAGCUGCUCUCUUCAGAAAUGCAUGUGAUUGACUGCAUCUCUGAAUAAAGAAACCUGCUUCUUCUCAUCUGCUGACUGAGAUCUCCUUCAUUUCGGCUGAGUAUUUGAUUAUUUGAUAGUUUAUUCAGUUCAUUUGGUACGAUUGUUGAAAAUAACUGAAAAUUGGUACUGUUAAAGAUUCUACCCUGUGAUAUGUCCACUCGGAGGGGACUCUGAGUUCCGACAUAUUUAUUGGUGCCGAAACCCAGGAAAUCUUGCAUGGGAAGGCUGACGUGAGUCCGAAACCUGAGCUAGGACCGCGACUACUGCAGGCUACAGAUUGCCGGCACUAAAACUGAAAGACUGCUUGACAGAAGAGAACUGACCAGGACACCUUGCUGCAAAGAGUGGACCUUCAGAUCAGUGUGGCAAAGCAUUCACUGCCAAAAGCUAGAGGACUCCCAUCAGCUCCUGUGGAACAAGGACAUGGUGUCAUUUUUGACAACGUAUACGUGCAAGAAUUGAGUCUUCCACUGCACACACAGAUAUAGCUGCACCUAGCACCAGCUCAGCUCAUGUGGCCUUGCCUGGCCACUUCAUAGCCUGGGGACCAGCACGAUCCCUGGGCUGGGUUUUCAAAGCAGAGUCUCAGUCUCAGGGUUCGUCAUCUUUUCCACCUGGUCAUCACUGAUCAGCUCCAGUAUAACAAUCUCAGGGUUUUACAUCAUUUCUGCCAGGUCCAGAUCCAGAAUCGCAGACUCAAAUCCAACAACAUGCAGGGAGAUGGCGAAAGGCAGAGCUUGAGGAUAAAAGAGCAUGUGGCAAGAGGGGAGCCACCAAAGAAGCGGCACUUAAAAGAAGGCUACUACUAAAAAAAAGAGUCACGUGUUUUAAUCUUUCAGUUUUAUGAAAUUUUAUAUUAAGUAAAAAGAUAUUCUCCUUAAGAAAACAGAAUUUUACUGGUAUGUCUCUUGAUUUGGGGAAAAUAAGAUGAAAUAGAUCUGAGUGUUGACCUUUCAGUAAUUUGUUUUAGUGAAAACAAGUAGAAAAGUGAAGAAAACAUCUUCCUCUUUCCCCUCUCCCAUAAUACAGUUUUGUCCUGACUAUUUUAGUGAAUUGAAUAAAUGAGUAUUAUGCAGUGAGUUGUUUUGCUGUUAAUAAAGCAUUGCAUGUUUUUUUUGUAUAUCUUCAUUUACUUCUCAGUCACUUUUCAGUCUUCACAACGAACCUGAGUGCAUGUUUGAUAGUUGUGUAAGGGCUCCCUGUGCCUAACAGGGUGGCUUAGUCGGCUUAGUUGCUUUAUGAAAUCUUUUAUUCCUGGUUAGCCAGCUCUGUCAUAAUUUGGCGUAGCUGGUUUUAAUUGAUCUGCUAACUUUGUAAUUUGUAUUAUUGGUUUUGACCGCUUGGCCACAUAUAUUGUAUGAGUAGUGUGUUAAACCGUAACACUGUGAUGCUACUUUUGAUUACUGGGGAAAAGGAACGAUGUUGACUGUGACUUCAGGCCCCCCUCAGUCCGUCUUUCCACUUUGGCACUGCGCCUCGUCCUCGAACGGUUUAAUCACUCUUGCCUGUGUCACUCGGGAUUUGGCCUCCGCCGACGGACUGACCUUCAGCUGGACAGAUGCGAGCGGGAACGCGCUGACUGACGUCGUGCAAUACCCGGCGGUGCGUGCGACCGGGGGUUUCGCCUCCGUGAGCCGCGUGCGCGUCAAUGCCAGCGACUGGGACCAGAAGAAGACGUACACGUGCACAGCCCAAAACGGCGCAGGACUCAAAGAAGCGACCUUGCAAAAGCCAGAGGUGGCCGAGCUCUCUGCAUCUCUGCUUCUAUUGGCUCCAACCCAAAAAGAUAUAGACAACGGAACAGCUACCUUUGUCUGUUUAGCAACACAAUUUUUUCCUAAAAAACAUGAAUUUAAGUGGAGUCAUGAAAAGAAGGACCUCAACAACACUGUCAAAGCCACCAUGUUAAGCAAGGACAAAGGAGUUUACACUGCUGUAAGUGUUUUAGUGAUGAACAGCAGUGACUGGUUGGGCUCAUCUUUUCCAGUUAAGUGCGAAUUCAAGCAGGAGAAAAAGACUGUGUCUAAAGAGGCGAGUUAUGUGUCUCUUGACACACACCAGCCAGAGGUACACAUAACCCCGCCUUCCACCAGGGACAUGCUGAUCAAAAGAAGUGGUGAUCUUGUGUGCACAGCUGCUGGAGAGCAUGGCUUCAAGGAAAUUAAAUGGCUUAGUGGCAAUAAAGAGCUCCCUUCAGUAAAGGAUUCAAACCUACAUAUGAAAACCACAAUCAAAGCCACCAUCAAAAUCAGUUACACUGAGUGGAGCAGUGGCUCCACAUUCACCUGUCAGGUGUACCAUAAUUCAUUCCCCCUAGAGUUUAAAAAUUUUAACUUCAAAAGAGAAGAAGGCAACAAGGUCUGCCCCAAGGUUUACUUGCUCCCUCCACCAGAGAUUUCAGAUGAACUGGUGACCCUGACUUGCUAUGUAAAAGACUUCUACCCUAAGGAGGUGGCUGUGUCUUGGCUUGUUGAUGAUAAACAGGUGGAAAAUGUGAACGGCUGUGUGCAGAACACCACUAACGUUAUUGAGAAAACCAACCUCUUUUCAGCAUACAGCCAGCUUAUUGUCAAAGCUGCAGACUGGAAAAGAGGCGCUGUUUUCACCUGCAGGGUUUAUCAUGAGUCCAUCAAGGACUCUGUACGCCUCAUAUCCAGAUGCAUCAGUAGCAGUUCAAACCCACCCAGCAUAAUGAAUUUUAGUCUGAAUGUGCCCUCAGUCUGCAACAAGAAGUAAUAGACAUUGUCUUGUCUGCUAUUAAUGUUUGUUUUAUUUUAAUCUUUUGCCCCGUCUUCAAUGUCUUUUUUUUUUUUUUAACUAAUGCAAUGUCAUUGUCUUGAAGUCUGUCUGAUGCUUGUGUGUCCUUGUUUUCUGGAAUAUGUCUGAUGCAAUAUUACACUAAAACAAUGACAAUAAAAUAAUCCUUCAGCAUGUACCCUGUGCAGUACAGAAAUAUUAUAUUAUUAUUUUACACUAACUUUAUACAGCACUAUAUUGCUAUAUCUAAA